GUGAACCUGGGACUGGGAGGGACAGCCUGCUGAGGACUGAGAGCGUGGGACACUUAUGACUGUCACACUCCUUCUCUGCAAAUCUUCCUCUAAAAGGCUUCCCAGGGCUUGGCUCUGCUUGGUUCUCUGAGCUCCUCCUGCAGGCAGCUGCCUUUCAGUUCACUAUUGUAUCCCAGUGAAUCCAAAAUUAGCUUGAUUCACAACAGAAAAUGAGCACAAAACCCCUCUAUAGCCAGAGAGUGAUUGUCUACAAAGUCCUAUGUGGUAGAAAUAAGGCUUUGCCCCAAGGAGCCAUCUGGCUGUGUGCCCUCUCCCACACGCACACUUCCAUUUGGCACACUUAUUGUUAUCCUGUGCUGUGAGGGAACAGAGGUACUGGCCACGGAUCCAUUGCAGAGGAGCCAGCUUAUACUCCCACGGUGCUAGGAAGGAGGCGGGACAGAUGAAAACAUCGAGGCUUAGAGGGGUUUCUGAGUAGCUGAGAAGUCAGGACUUCACACUCCCGAUCUUUCCCCUGGCCUCCAGUUUGCCUGGCAAAGUCACAGGAAGUAUCUCCAUGGCACCGCAUCAGCCCUCACAGAGCAGGAAACCUUGAUUUCUACAGAGGCUGUUUCCUCCCAGCCUUGUGCAAGGCCCACUGCAGAGACAAAAUUAUGGUGGCCAAAGUGUGAAUGCCAAGGCCACACUGGCCUCCAUCCCUGGGAUUUGCUGGUAGAAGAAAGGGAAUCAGCGCUGACUGAGCUCCUACUAUGUGCCCUUCCUGGGCCUGGCACUGGAAUCACAGGAUGAAUGAAUAAGGCAUAUUUCCUGCCCUGAGGAGGCGUCUAUAGGGGAAGUCGGAAUUAAGGCACCUCCAGAAUUCUGAGGUCAAGGGAAUGUCAACAGAGCUGUGAACAAAAUGCCCAAAGCCAUGAAAAUCUACAGAGAGAGACUCGAAGGGGAGGAAUGGGGUAGGAGCUGGUGCCGAGGAUGAGAGGGGAGAAUUCACCUGGUGGAGAACUGAUAGGCCAGGCUGAGGUCGGGAUGGUGGAGGAGGUGGUGGAGGUGAUGAGGUACCAGAGCAACCUCGAAGAAAGCUGAGAGGCAGGAGACCGCCAAAGGCAAACUUGGAACACCUGGUGACUCCGACUAACUCUCCAUGUGGUGUCCUUGAGGACUUUUAUGAUACUGCUACCACUGCUAAUAGUAAUAAAAGCCACUAUUUAAUGUGUUUACUAUGCGCUGGGUGUGCAAAUAUUGUGGAAAGAGUGAACAUAUGUGCAGAAUGCUUAAUAAACGUGAUCUCCUUUUAUCUUCAAAAGAACAAUACAGGCCAGGUGCGGUGGCUCAUGCCUAUAAUUCCAGCACUUUGGGAGGCCGAGGCAGAUGGAUUGCUUGAGCUCAAGAAGUUUCAGACCAGCCUGGGCAACAUGGCAAAACCCCAUCUCUACAAAAAAAUACCCAAAAAAUUAGCCAGGUGUGAUGUUGCCUGCCUGUGGUCCCAGCUACUCCAGAGGUUGAGGUGGGAGAAUCGCGUGAGCCCAGAAGGUCAAGGCUGCAGUGAGCUGUGAUCCUGCCACUGCACUCCAGCCUGGGGUGACAGAGUGAGACCCUGCCUAAAAAAAAAAGAAUCAAUACGAUUAAUACUUUUACUUCUAUUUUUCAGACAAGGAAAUUGAGGCUCAGAGAGGUUAGGAACUUGCCAGAAGACCUACCAGCAAGUGGCAGAGCUAAGGUCCCAUCUGACCCCAAAGCCCACCCAUAACCGCUAUGCAGUACUGUCCAGGCAGAAACACAAACAUUACCCCAUUGUUUUUAUUCUUCAACACCUUUGGUAUCAUCCAGUCCCAGGACACUGGCUCCUGAGGAAGGAAGGCCCCUCCCACAUCCUUUAAAAUUCCCAGGCAUAAAACCAUGUUCACCAGCCACCGUGAGGGUAAGCCUCAGAGACAGGGACCGUGCCCAC
Molecule: long non-coding RNA, 1945 nt
Filed under: Homo sapiens (human)
Lineage: Eukaryota; Metazoa; Chordata; Mammalia; Primates; Hominidae
Description: HSALNT0020207
Source: RNAcentral